UGUGUAUAUGUGUAUAUAUGUGUGUGUACAUGUAUAUGUAUAUAGGCACAUAUAUACAUACAUACUGCUGGUAAUGAGAUAGAUG
Molecule: microRNA precursor, 85 nt
Filed under: Otolemur garnettii (small-eared galago)
Lineage: Eukaryota; Metazoa; Chordata; Mammalia; Primates; Galagidae
Description: miRNA (ENSOGAG00000033743.1)
Source: RNAcentral